GGCCCCAUCGUAUAGUGGCUAGUAUGCCGGGCUCUCAACCCGGAGGCGGGGGUUCGAUUCCCCCUGGGGCUACCA
RNAcentral lists this transfer RNA (75 nucleotides) under Dictyoglomota bacterium. RNAcentral's name for it is "Dictyoglomi bacterium (hydrothermal vent metagenome) tRNA-Glu". It matches the Rfam family "tRNA". From Rfam's summary of the family: Transfer RNA (tRNA) molecules are approximately 80 nucleotides in length. The record is from RNAcentral. RNAcentral also lists the same sequence under 1 other name. Lineage: Bacteria; Pseudomonadati; Dictyoglomota.